Molecule: transfer RNA, 83 nt
Filed under: Gluconacetobacter liquefaciens
Lineage: Bacteria; Pseudomonadati; Pseudomonadota; Alphaproteobacteria; Acetobacterales; Acetobacteraceae
Description: tRNA-Gly
Source: RNAcentral
CGGUCCUGGCCCAGGAAGCGGGCGCGGAUCUGCCCCAUCUGACGGCGAUGCAGGAACUGAUGGUUCAUGUCCAUCAGGUUCUC